UUCGCAAUGCCCGAAAGGGUGACGAAGCGACGCCGCGUGUGGGAAGAAGGCCUUCGGGUUGUAAACCACUGUCGGGAGUUAAGAAAUGCAAGGAUAUGAAUAGUGUCUUUGCUUGACUAAGGCUCCGGAGGAAGCCACGGCUAACUCUGUGCCAGCAGCCGCGGUAAUACAGAGGCGGCAAGCGUUGUUCGGAAUUAUUGGGCGUAAAGAGCACGUAGGCGGCUAUGUAAGUCGGUUGUGAAAGCCUUCCGCUCAACGGGAGAACAGCAUCCGAUACUACAUGGCUUGAGUGCGGGAGGGGAGAGUGGAACUUCUGGUGGAGCGGUGAAAUGCGUAGAUAUCAGAAGGAACGCCGGCGGCGAAAGCGGCUCUCUGGCCCAUAACUGACGCUGAGUGUGCGAAAGCUAGGGGAGCAAACGGGAUUAGAUACCCCGGUAGUCCUAGCCGUAAACGAUGGGCACUAAGUAGAGGGGUUUU
This 477-nucleotide ribosomal RNA is filed under the name uncultured bacterium. Its description in RNAcentral is "bacterial SSU rRNA". It matches the Rfam family "Bacterial small subunit ribosomal RNA", at positions 365 to 832 of the family's 1533-position model. RNAcentral also lists the same sequence under 3 other names. The record is from RNAcentral.